AUUAAUAAGACUGAACAGGGUAACUAUAAAACUGACCUGCUUUUGUCUAACGACGCAGAGUAUUUGUAAAGUGCAACAGUUAACACCUUGUCUUUUUUUGCUUGGUACAUCUCUUCGUAUGAUGAUGCUCUGGGUUGGCCUGAUCUUUAUUGGACUUGUCCAUAUCAUGAUGGUACAAAGUGCUAGUUUUGGUUGCAGGUGUCCAGGAUGUGAUAGUCAUCCUGAUCAUGGCUCCCUCAACUGUAACAGUGACUCUAUGGGCUAUCGCUGUACCAUCAGUUGUGACGAAGGGUAUAAGUUUAUAACACAAGUCCCAGCUUGGUAUCUAUGCACGUCAUAUGGAUUAUGGAUAGUAUCGUCUUGCAUGCAGGAUGGUAAAUGUACUUACUACCCGCCGUCAUGGCCUGAAUGCGUGCCAGUCACCGAUAAAAAGUCGCCGUACAAUUGAUGAGACUAACUCGUCCAGUCAAGUGUGCGUGUUACAAGCAUGAACAUGUUGUAUAAUCAGGAGCAUCACUAUUGACAACUACUGUUCCAAAAGCAGUAUAAAAUCAUAAUAAAAACCAGGGGAAAUAAAUUCCUGUUAAAUCUCAAUA
Molecule: long non-coding RNA, 596 nt
Organism: Actinia tenebrosa (Australian red waratah sea anemone)
Lineage: Eukaryota; Metazoa; Cnidaria; Anthozoa; Actiniaria; Actiniidae
Source: RefSeq, a predicted model, not a curated record